AUGAGAAUUCGUCUGGAGAUUGAGGGGUUAGGGGUGCAGGCGGGAUGGGAGGACAGAGGGGAUUUCGCCACGGCCCGCCUGAGGGCGGCAGUUUGGCUGGACCGACGGAUAAUAAAAAUCGAAUGGCUGGGGCUGGAUCUGAGCGGUCGGAUGCCGCCUCACCCCACGGGCGCUCCGGGUUCGAGCUCCAGGAGACGGGCUGUGGGUCCCUGUCCAUCCGGGACGCCCGGGCCCGCUUCCAUAUUCGGCUGGGAGUGGACCAGAGCCCUAGGCCUCGGGGGUCGGGCAGACCGGCCUCAUCUCGCCCGACAUCCCCGGUGGGGCCGGCUCUACCCACGGGGGGAGGAUGCGCCGGGCUUUCCCCUCGACCCCGUCCGAGCCCCGGGAACGGCCGGGGCGCAGGGACUCGACCUCCGGGACCAGGGCCUCCCUGGGCCUGGAGCUGAGCGGUCGGAUGCCGCCUCACCCCACGGGCGCUCCGGGUUCGAGCUCCAGGAGACGGGCUGUGGGUCCCUGUCCAUCCGGGACGCCCGGGCCCGCUUCCAUAUUCGGCUGGGAGUGGACCAGAGCCCUAGGCCUCGGGGGUCGGGCAGACCGGCCUCAUCUCGCCCGACAUCCCCGGUGGGGCCGGCUCUACCCACGGGGGGAGGAUGCGCCGGGCUUUCCCCUCGACCCCGUCCGAGCCCCGGGAACGGCCGGGGCGCAGGGACUCGACCUCCCGGGACCAGGGCCUCCCUGGGCCUGGAGCUGAGCCGGCGCGGCCGCCCCGGGUCCCGGCCCCUCCGCCCAACGCUCGGGCGCGGCCUCCCGGCCCGCAGCCCUCCCGCCGCCCGGCUCCCCCAGGAGGGCCACGGUCGGCGCGGUCCGCCCCUCCGCCCCAUUCCCGAGGGACAAACCUGGGGGCCGCUACCCGGCAGGGCCGACCCGGCGAGGGAGAGGCGCGCGGCGGCGGCGGCGGGGCCCGCAGCGACAGCAGCCACCUCGGCCCUGCCGGCUCGGCGCCUCGCCCGCCCGCGGCCCCUGCGCCCCUUCCCCCGGCCGGCCCCACGCGCACCCCACCCUCCACGCGCGCGCCCAGCUCUGUUGCUCAACCUACUUGCAGCCUCUCCUCAUCGGUCAUCACCAGAUGCCCGGGAAGCCGGGGCCGCCCCAGGACCCGCUGGCGGGCGGCCGCCUCUCCUUCAGCCCCAGGCCGCCGCUAGGGCGCCGGGCGAGCGGGAGGCUCCCCCAUUGCCGCCCGCCCGCCCGCCGGCCACCCGCCGGGGCCCCGGCUCGGCCCGCCGCCCGCGCCGCCGCUCCGAGAGGAGGGCGAGCCAGUCUUGCCCGCGGCCGGUUCGCUCCUCGCCCACCCGCCCGCAGCCGCAGCCGCAGCCGCAGCCGCUGCGCCGCCGCUUCCUCCUCCCCUUUCCUCUUUUUCCUUCUCCUUCGCUUCGUCGGGAGCCGAGCUUGGCAAACCAGCACCUGCUGCUGGAGAUCACCGAGAACUGAAACAGGAAACCCCAAGCCCAGGGGAAAACCCGGGAGGCGUGGAGAGGGGUGAGGGGAGCUGCUGGAACCUGUCGGGCUCGACCGGGCCACUGCGGCCGCCCGAGGUUCCCGCGCCGCCUCGCCUCGCGCCCAGCCCGGGGGUCUCGACCUCCCCGCCCCGCUCCCCCCUGCCCGGGCCGUGCAGGCGCCCCUCGGCUCGGUUACACCUCCUCCAUCCAGCAAUAACACAGAUCAUUCCCUGGGCGGCCAAGGGAAUCGCUGUCUUCCUUUUCCCGUGCUUGUUUGCUUAUUAUCGGUAUUCCGUAAUGAGGGGGGGGAAAAAAACCACACCCGGCAUUAGCAAGACCAAUAAGGGAAUUUAUUAAUAAACAAAUGAAGCUGUUGGGAUUUCACCCAGGGGAAGAACUUCUUGCAGUAAGGAAACUGGCCCUGCUGGAAGUGGCAACAUGUCAAAAUGGAGGCGAAAGCCAGGUUGAAUCCAGAUCUCUUUCCGGAGGUUGGGAGGAGACAGCACCGAGGUGGGAGUUCCGAGUGUGAUAGCGCUGAGCGCAUCGGGCCUUUCUACUUCUGCAGAAUGUCCAACAUCCAGCACAACCUAGGCCAGCGUUUCAGCAAUGUUCAAAUCGUCUCACUCACCUGCCUGUGGAAUUGUCUCCUGACGCCUCACUCCUAGCCUUGGGCAGGAUGCCUGUACUUUCAGAGGGAGAGGGAAUUGUCUCCCUGAAUUGUGCCCCUCCCAGGGGUCACAGACCGGGCAGCUGCUUUAAGUGCCUUAUCUCAUUUAAGUGUCACCACAGCCACCUGAGCUAGGUGUUAUAAUCCCCUUUUUCCUACAGAAGACUGACCCUCCUUGCAUAGGAGGGAUCCAGGUCCGUCUUCAUCGAAAGCACAUAUUUGUUUCAGGGGACCUUGAAUCACACUUUUGAUCACACUAUUCACCUUUUAACAAAAUUAUUUCUUGCCUCUCUGAAUUGUUUUCAGUAGGGGCAUACUCGCUUUAAGCCUGGGUUCUGCUGAAUCUGAUUGGGCUGCUUAAUGGUAGUGAUAUCUGUGAUGCUUAGUGGGGUUCACACUUUCCAGUUUCUGUAUUAAAAAAAAAACCCUGUUUUUAUGGCUCAGGUGAGCAGUACAGAUGCCUCCACCUCUCUGACCAGCAUCUGUUACUCUAGCUAUGGAGGAUACGGGGGUCCCAGCUGAGAGUGUCCUGCUGGCUGGUGUUCAUGGCACAAUGACACUGCAAGAGGAAAGGCGAGCAUCUCACUGAGUCUGCUUUCCGCUACAGGAGGCCAAGUCUUGGGGCCUAGUAACUGAAAUAGUAGACCAGCAGGCCUCUUUGGGGGCAUAUGUGAAUUCUGUGGUCUACAUUUUUAGUACCGCCUUAGGAAGUUUGGCAACCUGCUCUCUGCAGCCAGGUCAGUUUGAAUUGGCAGUGAGGGAGGGAUGCUUGGGAAAGCAUUCCAUGCUCUCUGAGCCAAACCCUCAGAAGUCUCUUGAGCAGUAUUAGGGAGUGGCAGGGACUUAGAAAGAGGCUGGCUUGCUGACAAUAGUAAGUGAUGGCAUCUGUGACAUGAUUUUAGUGAUGCCAGGAAGUUCCCCUACUCCACAAUAAUACCACCCACAUUGUCUAUCUUACUUCCCUCAAUUGACUCAACUGAAUUCCGCUCAAUAUUGAUUUAGCAUGAUUGUGUACUAUAUUAGGUACUUUGGAGGUGAGAGAUAGCAAGAAGUAUUAAAAUAGACAUUUAGUGAAUGUUCACUAUGUUCCAGGCACUAUUCUGAGCACUUUGCAUAUAUUCUUUCACAUAGCACCCACAAAACCCCUAUGAGGGAAUAACUAUCACUGUUUCCAUUUCACAAAUGAGAAAACUGAGACCAAGGUUAAGGUCAGUAAAUAACAGUACAAAGAUUAAAACACAGGCAGUUUAACUCUACAGUUCAGAGCUCAUUAUGUGAAUGAUACAGUAACCAGCCUUAGUUACCUUACUAUGUAGUUGGGAGAUAAAAACAUGAAAGUUAAAAGAAGACAAAAUAAUUUUUAAGUUUUAAAUAUGUGUCAUGGGUAAUAAAGGCAAUGAAAGUUCAGAAGACUAAUAGAGGAAUCACUUUAGACUGGAAUGGAUGAAAGAUAGGGUUUCAAAAGGGGGAGAUUUAAACUGGAUAAUGAAGAUGGAUAGUACUUUGAUAAGCAGAGAGGAUAAGGAAGGGCAUAUGAGUGAAACAGCGUAAGCAAAAAUAGAAUGCCAGGGAAAUCUGAAAAAUAGGGAUUAAAAAAAGCUGGAAAGGGAAAGUAGGGCCAAAUUACACAGAGAUUUACAAAUGAGAGAGGGAGAGAGAGAGAGAUGGGGAGAGAGACAGACAGAGAGUUUGAGCUCAUGUUGCCUUUAUACACAGAGGGAUCUGUGAAGGGUUUUGAACAGAAGGUAACAUGGAGAACAUUUCUAAUUUAGUAAAAUCAAUAUUGUAUUGGUUACUGGAUGGUUUGGAAAGGGGAAGGAUUGACGCAGGGAAACAAGUUUGAAGGUCAGAAUGGGAGAACAGAGGGGAAUGAAGAAAUCAUGAGGGAGGGAAUGAAGGAACCAAUUAGUGAGACAUUGUGACAAAAAUCACUGAGACUUUGUAAAUGAUUGGAUACACUUAAUGGAGACUAACCUAAGAAAAAGGAGAAGUCGAAAAUGACUUAGGAGUAUGAAUAUGAAACCUGUAAUAUCUCUGACUGGAAAAAAGGGAAGUCUGGGGAUAGAGGAACUACUGUUUUGAGCACAUGUUUAGAGGAGUUUGGGUUUAGGCAUGCGUUUGUGGUAAUAGUGGAGAUAUACUUGGGGAAGUGUUUCAUAGCUUUAUCUAGAAAAGGCAAAAAGUUGGGUUAGUGAGGCUUUUAUUUGCUACUGAGAGAGAAUAAGUAUGAACGUUUUAUAUGGUCACAAUUAUAACAAUAACCAACCACGGUGUUCAUCUUACGUAAACCAGAGUUCAAACAAUAUUUCAAUCCUUCUGUGGCUCUGAGAUAAAUAAACUUUAGGGAAUUCCUCUUCUCUUUACUCCAAGUUCUAUUUACUUGAAAGGAAAAAAAGAUAUAUAAGGAAAGAAAUUUCAUGGCUCCAGAGAAUGUCAGAUUGAUGAAAGAAAACUUAAGAGAUCAUUAAACCUGACCACAAUUUUCAGUUUGCAAAUGGUGAAACUGAGGAUCAAAUUUUGAAUGUCUGAUAUUAAAACUUCAAAAAUAGGCAUUAGGCAAAUAUGGCACAUUUGCUAAUUAUCAAUGCUGGAUUGCACAUUUGUAUUUUAUAAAAGCAGCCUGGACCUUGAAUUGUGAGUUUGAAUUGCAUAUAAUUAAAGAAUUUGAGAGGCUAUGGAUCCAUAAUAGGCAAAGACUUGGGACAGUCUCAUCAAUUAAAAGCAAAUAUUUGGAAAGAACAGGUUGGAGGCAGAAGGUGGGAGGAAGAAUGGUGGCAACAGCAGAACUUCUUUAAAACGUACUCCCAGGUAGACGAUCUCACACGGAGAUUCAUAUUUGAACCUAAAAAGACCGAGUUUCAGGAGCCCAUCACACCUUACUUGGCUGCCUCAUCAUCCAGAUGCCCAGUCACCUUGUCUAAGACCUCUAGGAGCUUCAGAAGUGAUGGCCCAUAGGUCACCUUCAGGUUCAGAACUGGUACACACCCCUGAAAACUACUUCUAGUUCUAUCUGGAGCUUUACUAGUGGUGCCCUUAGGAAUAUUCUCAUCCCCUGCUACACGUGGGGAUGAGAAUUAUUUUCUCUGUUCUCACAUCUCCUGCUUUAUCAGUUAUGCCAAAACACUUACCUUAGUUGAAGUGAUGUUACUAGACCGUUGGAUGCAUCUUCUCCAGCAUUUUGUCCAGCACUUGAUUUCCUCUGAUGGAAGAGCUUCAUCUAUCCAGAUGACUACUGUGACUUUUCAUUCACAGUUUCUUUUAUGUCUUUCAGAGAAGUUCUGGUUAAUUCCAACAACCCAUGAUAUGUAAUGCUUCCUUAGUGUUAUUACUCUAAACGGCCACUUCCCCAGCACAUAAUCUGUGUAAGAUGGACACAGAAGGAUAAAACACUUCUUUUCUUUAUACUACAGUGACUGGUUAGAGUUGCUUUUUAAUACUGAGUUCUUAGGGAAAGGAAACUAGAGGGUAUGAGAUAUGAGCUGUUGGCCAAUCCCACGACUUCUUUCUUUUGAUGAGUAACCACUGGAUUCAAUAUCAGCAGCAUGACUCUUGUUUUCAGCAUGUGGGAAGUCAGACAGCAAGAUUUUUAAUAUGCUUGUGUCAUACAGUUGUGUGAUUAUUCUACCUGAGCUGGACAGUGUGAUUGUACUCAUUUCACCGUAUUUGACCAACAUAGGAAUUUUGAAAAAACAAACAUUUAAGAAAUACUUCUAAGGUGACAUUUUGCCAUCUUGACAGGGACCACACCUAUCAUUGCAGUUCAUCCGGCCCCAAAGUUUUAAAAUUGCUAUUUCAACAUGGAUUUUCAAAUGUACUAAAAGCAUCCUCAUCACCUCUGCAAGCAUCUGUUGUUUUAGAAGGAAGCAGGCAUGUAGAAUUACAAAUGUACAGAAGUGAAAGAGUUGGAAACAGAAUUAUGGAAUUUCUAGGUUAGAGUACAUUUUAUGUUAAAAGGCUAAAUCACAAGACUACUAAUUGCAGCAUUACUUGCAAAGUCAAAAAAAUUAGGAUCAACUUAAAUGUACAUUAAUAGGAAACUAUUCAAAUAAGUUGUAAUGUUGCCAUAUAAUAGGGUGCCAUUCACCUAUGAAAGAGAGUGAAGUGGUCCUGUGUGUGUGGAAUAAACUUCAAGACCCUUUGUUUAUUGGAACAGUAAGGGAAAACCAGUGUAUAUAGAAUGCUAUUAUUUGUGUGAAAGACAAAGAAUAUAUGUUUGCUUACAUAUGCAUAUAAAAUCUCUGGGAGGAAAC
This 6413-nucleotide long non-coding RNA is filed under the name Bos grunniens (domestic yak). RNAcentral's name for it is "lncRNA (ENSBGRG00000013510.1)". The record is from RNAcentral. Lineage: Eukaryota; Metazoa; Chordata; Mammalia; Artiodactyla; Bovidae.